Molecule: vault RNA, 111 nt
Filed under: Astyanax mexicanus (Mexican tetra)
Lineage: Eukaryota; Metazoa; Chordata; Actinopteri; Characiformes; Acestrorhamphidae
Description: Vault RNA (ENSAMXG00005000763.1)
Rfam family: Vault RNA
About the family: This family of RNAs are found as part of the enigmatic vault ribonucleoprotein complex. The complex consists of a major vault protein (MVP), two minor vault proteins (VPARP and TEP1), and several small untranslated RNA molecules.
Source: RNAcentral
GCGUCAGGUUAGCUGAGUGGUUACUUCCUACACAGUCUGACUUAAAUUCCCUCCCCCUUCCUCAGGUUUCAACCUGGGGAGUUCAAACCACUGGCGCUGUCUGGCGUUUUA